This 762-nucleotide ribosomal RNA is filed under the name Staphylococcus pasteuri. RNAcentral describes it as "bacterial SSU rRNA". It matches the Rfam family "Bacterial small subunit ribosomal RNA", at positions 138 to 872 of the family's 1533-position model. The record is from RNAcentral. Lineage: Bacteria; Bacillati; Bacillota; Bacilli; Caryophanales; Staphylococcaceae.
CCCNGGAGGGCUUAAAAACCCGGGGAAUAAGGAAUUUUUGGAACCCGGCAAGGGGUUCCAAAGAGGGGNGAGACGGCCGUUUGCGGUCACGUUAUAGAGGGAUCCGCGCCGUAUUAGCUAGUUGGUAAGGUAACGGCGUACCAAGGCAACGAUACGUAGCCGACCUGAGAGGGUGAUCGGCCACACGGGAACUGAGACACGGUCCAGACUCCUACGGGAGGCAGCAGUAGGGAAUCUUCCGCAAUGGGCGAAAGCCGGACGGAGCAACGCCGCGUGAGUGAUGAAGGUCUUCGGAUCGUAAAACUCUGUUAUCAGGGAAGAACAAACGUGUAAGUUAACUGUGCACGUCUUGACGGUACCUGAUCAGAAAGCCACGGCUAACUACGUGCCAGCAGCCGCGGUAAUACGUAGGUGGCAAGCGUUAUCCGGAAUUAUUGGGCGUAAAGCGCGCGUAGGCGGUUUUUUAAGUCUGAUGUGAAAGCCCACGGCUCAUACCGUGGAGGGUCAUUGGAAACUGGAAAACUUGAGUGCAGAAGAGGAAAGUGGAAUUCCAUGUGUAGCGGUGAAAUGCGCAGAGAUAUGGAGGAACACCAGUGGCGAAGGCGACUUUCUGGUCUGUAACUGACGCUGAUGUGCGAAAGCGUGGGGAUCUAACAGGAUUAGAUACCAAUGGUAGUCCACGCCGUAAACGAUGAGUGCUUAAGUGUUAGGGGGUUUCCGCCCCUUUAGUUGUUGCCAAUAACUGUCAUUAAUGCAUUCCGC